This 64-nucleotide transfer RNA is filed under the name Longivalvus hyalospilus. Its description in RNAcentral is "tRNA-Leu". The record is from RNAcentral. Lineage: Eukaryota; Metazoa; Arthropoda; Insecta; Psocodea; Psocidae.
UCUAAUAUGGCAGAUUAGUGUAUUGAAUUUAAGCUUCAAAUAUAAAGUAUUCCUUUUGUUAGAA